RNAcentral lists this long non-coding RNA (348 nucleotides) under Hordeum vulgare. RNAcentral's name for it is "long non-coding RNA (HVUL_LNC013133)". The record is from RNAcentral. Lineage: Eukaryota; Viridiplantae; Streptophyta; Magnoliopsida; Poales; Poaceae.
GGCUCAGGAACUCAUGUUCUUAGCUAGCAGAGGAUCUCUUCCAGCUGCACCCAGUACUGUUACUCGCAGCCCAGAUGCAACCUUUUUCACUCCGGCAAAACUCGCAGCACCUGAGCUUUCACCUGCAAAGCAGAUGCUACCUCAGAUGCCACAACGUGUUUCGCCUCCUUUGUCAGGCAUUUCCAAACCGAUCUCCAUGGUGUCCCAAGCUGCAUGCGUCCCCAAGAGCGCCUCUAGCUCCAACAUUGACUCGACAGCGCCAAAAUCUUCAGGCCAGUUGGUUGUGCCUCCCACGAGUCAGCCUUCGUCGUCCACUCAUCCUGUGACACUAGCCUCCACCACUGCUGC